AUAAAUUUUUUGUUUAUUUUUAUGUGGUGCUGAGGAUGGAACCCAGUGCCUCGCACAUGCUCUAUCAGGGAGCCACUAACCCAGUCCCUCACCUGGAACUUUUUAAACUGGGGCCUGUUGUGGUCAUAAGGGUUUUGAGGCAAAAGAAGAGUCCAUAGGACAUUUUGCUGUGCCAUAACAGACCCAGCUGAAGAGGAGGAAUGAGUUUAAUAAGACAUUUAGAUAGAGCAUGGAUGUGCCAACGCAGGUACUACACCUCUUAUUACUGAUAUACAGCAGUCCUUGAAUAUAUGUCCUUUCUGACAAUGGAUGGCCUACCGAUAGUGACCUAGUAUCGUCCAUUCCCGUAUCCGUACACUUCUGCUGUUACCUCAUGACAUUUUAGUAGAACAUCCCUUCUCCCUGGACACCCUUAAGCAUGACCAGAUGCCUGGCUGGUGUCUCAGUUCUUAGUCUUAUCUGCCUAUGAUCACUUGUCUGAUGGAACCUGUGAUGAAACAAUUAUAAAAUGCAGGAAAGCAGUGGGCCUACUCAGGUGCAUGAGGGGCUCCCUGGCUGAGUGAAAAAUGUAUUAUAGUGGUUCUGCAUUGCAGAAGGAGAAAUCUGGGAGAGCUUACAGACACUCAGAAUUACCCAUAAACCUCCUGCCCCUCGCCUCCUACCUGCUAUUCUGCCACUUCUUGCUGCUCAGUGUGCCAGGAAGUCACAGCAGGUAUACCUGCCACAUAAAUUCUGGCCUGUCUCUGUUGAAUAAGGAUCUAAGAAAGUAACCCUGCUCCUCUCUGGAGACAGUGCUUCAAACCAAGCCUUACCUUCUACCUUGGAUAGAAGUAUUAUUACUCUGCUCUGUCUCUUUGAUAACUUGGGUCAGCACUAAUACAAUACCCAUAGCAUAAUAAAUGCUCAAUGAAUAUUCUUAACUAGCUGAC
Molecule: long non-coding RNA, 929 nt
Filed under: Marmota monax (woodchuck)
Lineage: Eukaryota; Metazoa; Chordata; Mammalia; Rodentia; Sciuridae
Source: RNAcentral